GUGCUUACUUUGGAAGCACAUAUACUGAAAUUGGAACAAUACUGAGAAGGUUAACAUUCCUCUGGGCAAAAAUGACAUGAAGAUUAGUGAAGUGGUCCAUAGUUUU
Molecule: small nuclear RNA, 106 nt
Filed under: Neotoma lepida (desert woodrat)
Lineage: Eukaryota; Metazoa; Chordata; Mammalia; Rodentia; Cricetidae
Source: RNAcentral